CACGUAGGCGGCCUGUUAAGUGUGGAGUGAAAUCCCACGGCUCACCCGUGGAACUGCUUCGCAUACUGGCAAGCUCGAGGACGGUAGGGGAGAGCGGAACUCUUGGUGGAGCGGUGAAAUGCGUAGAUAUCAAGAGGAACACCGAUGGCGAAGGCAGCUCUCUGGUCCGUUUCUGACGCUGAGGUGCGAAAGCUAGGGCAGCGAACG
Molecule: ribosomal RNA, 207 nt
Filed under: uncultured bacterium
Lineage: Bacteria
Description: partial 16S ribosomal RNA
Rfam family: Bacterial small subunit ribosomal RNA
Source: RNAcentral